AUGUCUGUCUUUAAACUGCCAAAAGGGAUUUGUAAGUCCAUCACGGAUGAAAUUGCGGGAUUUUGGUGGGGGUAUGGAGGACAAACGAAAGAUGCAUGGUGGAAGCCGUGUAUCCCAAAGCAGAAAGGAGGCAUGGGGUUUAGCGACCUUCGCAGUUUUAAUCUUGCUAUGUUAGCAAAACAGUGUUGGCGACAGCUCCAGAACCCAGACUCUUUGAGUGCACGUGUUCUUAGUGCCAAAUAUUAUCCAAAUGGCGACAUUUUGAGUGCAGGUCCAAAGAAGGGAUCGUCAUAUACUUGGCAGAGUAUUGUCAAUGACAUUUAA
Molecule: ribosomal RNA, 324 nt
Filed under: Triticum aestivum (bread wheat)
Lineage: Eukaryota; Viridiplantae; Streptophyta; Magnoliopsida; Poales; Poaceae
Description: partial small subunit ribosomal RNA
Source: RNAcentral